GAUGAAGAACGUAGCGAAAUGCGAUACUUGGUGUGAAUUGCAGAAUCCCGUGAACCAUCGAGUCUUUGAACGCAAGUUGCGCCCGAAGCCGUCAGGCCGAGGGCACGCCUGCCUGGGCGUCACACGCCGUUGCCCCCCCCCCAGCGCCUCCCUCGGGAGGGCCGGGGGGAGCGGACGAUGGCCUCCCGUGCGACACCCCGUGCGGUUGGCACAAAUGCCGGGUCCUCGGCGACGAACGCCACGACAAUCGGUGGUUGUCAAACCUCGGUUGCCCGUUGUGCGCCUUCGUCGCGCCACGAGCGGCCCGCGAUAGCGAACGGCUCCGUUCCGGCGAAGCUUUCAACGCGACCCCAGGUCAGGCGGGGUUACCCGCUGAAUUUAAGCAUAUCAAUAAGCGGAGGA
Molecule: unclassified non-coding RNA, 402 nt
Filed under: soil metagenome
Description: partial contains 5.8S ribosomal RNA, internal transcribed spacer 2, and large subunit ribosomal RNA
Rfam family: 5.8S ribosomal RNA (bases 1-122)
Source: RNAcentral